RNAcentral lists this long non-coding RNA (217 nucleotides) under Hordeum vulgare. RNAcentral describes it as "long non-coding RNA (HVUL_LNC018664)". Lineage: Eukaryota; Viridiplantae; Streptophyta; Magnoliopsida; Poales; Poaceae. The record is from RNAcentral.
UCUUCCUCCUUCUCCUUCUCCUUCUUCUUCACCUUCUCCUUCUUCUUUUCUUCUUCUUCUCCUCUUCCUUCUUCUCCUCCUCCUCCUCCUGCUCCUCCUUAUUUCACUUCUUCUUCUCUAUCUCUUCUUCUACGUAGCUUAGACUCCUCCAAGAAAGGUUAAAUUGGCUAAUUAUCCUACGAAAUGACAUAAUUAGCUUAGUUAGCUCCAAAAUGGC